GUCCACGCCCUAACGAUGUCAACUGGUUGUUGGGAAUUCACUUUCUCAGUAACGAAGCUAACGCGUGAAGUUGACCGCCUGGGAGUACGGCCGCAAGGUUGAACUCAAGGAAUUGACGGGACCCGCACAAGCGGUGGAUGAUGUGGUUUAAUUCGAUGCAACGCGAAACCUUAACCCACCUUUGACAUGUACGGAAUCCUUUAGAGAUAGAGGAGUGCUCGAAAGAGAGCCGUAACACAGGUGCUGCAUGGCUGUCGU
This 258-nucleotide ribosomal RNA is filed under the name uncultured bacterium. RNAcentral describes it as "partial 16S ribosomal RNA". It matches the Rfam family "Bacterial small subunit ribosomal RNA", at positions 793 to 1055 of the family's 1533-position model. The record is from RNAcentral.